This 407-nucleotide long non-coding RNA is filed under the name Equus caballus (horse). RNAcentral describes it as "lncRNA (ENSECAG00000047531.1)". Lineage: Eukaryota; Metazoa; Chordata; Mammalia; Perissodactyla; Equidae. The record is from RNAcentral.
CUCAGUUCUCCUGAAAUGGGACUUCUGCUCACCUCCAGUGUUAAAGCUGCUUCAUUUAGAAGUUGGAUGCAGCCAUGUGUCUAAGGUCUGGCCAACAAUGAUAAGCAGAAACUUCCGUGGGAUGAUUUUAAAAGAAGAGGGAGUUGACCUUACACGAUUGGAUUGCUGGUUAAGCGGACUCUGUAAGGCUGACACUGGAGCUGGAAGUCCAGAGGACAGGCAGACAGGAAAGGAAGAUGGAUGUAAAGUGGGGGAGAGCAAGAUCAAGUUGGAGCUCCCAAGGACAGACUGAAACCCCUGUCAGUUCCCCUUCCUCAGAUCUUGAGGGUAUGAGUGUCCUGAAAAUCCACGCCCCUUGAGAUGGAGCUAAUCACGCCGGCCUGACCCAGGAGUUGGAAAGAUGGAGG